This is a long non-coding RNA of Megalobrama amblycephala (Wuchang bream), 502 nucleotides long. RefSeq lists it as uncharacterized. The transcript has 3 exons. The record is from RefSeq and is a predicted model, not a curated record. NCBI's taxonomy places the organism in Eukaryota, Metazoa, Chordata, Actinopteri, Cypriniformes, Xenocyprididae.
UCUCUGCUGCUGCUGCUGGAUUUCUGUUGAUUGUUGUUGCAGUCGUGAUGUGCAUCUACAGGAAACAUGAAAAAACAGUCCAGACCCCGGAGGAAAACACUGAUUCAGCAGUGUGUAAUCCAACAACACCAAAAACAAGAUUCCUUAGAAAGAAAGAAGCUUUGUAUGAAAAUGUCCCUGAAAAAUGAUGAUCAAAUACUGGAAUUGAUGUUAGAGCUCAUACGGUCCCUGACUCACAACUUUUGGCUGUUUUGCUUUUGCUUUGUAUUACAUUGUUUGAUCACACUUAAUGUUUGUUUUUUGGGGUUUUUUUGUCAUUAUGUCUGAAAUGUUGUUGCUCCAUAUUAGUACCGUAAUUUAUUGGUUCACAACAGUACAGUAUCCAGAAACUAAAAUAAACGUUCUGUUUGUAGCUUAACAUCACAUGGAAAUGUAUUACACUUUUUGGUAACACUUUAUAAUAAGGUUCAUUUGUUAAUGUAUUAACUAACAUGAGCUAACA